This 452-nucleotide ribosomal RNA is filed under the name uncultured bacterium. Its description in RNAcentral is "bacterial SSU rRNA". It matches the Rfam family "Bacterial small subunit ribosomal RNA", at positions 28 to 476 of the family's 1533-position model. The record is from RNAcentral.
GAUGAACGCUAGCGGCAGGCCUAAUACAUGCAAGUCGAACGAUAGUCUUGUCUUCGGAUGAGAUGAGAGUGGCGCACGGGUGAGUAACGCGUACACGACCUACCUUACAGAGGGGGAUAGCCUUGGGAAACUGGGAGUAAUCCGCCAUAGUGUAUAUGAUCUGCAUGGAUGGUAUACUAAAGCUUCGGCGCUGUAAGAUGGGUGUGCGUCUGAUUAGGUAGUUGGUAGGUAACGGCCUACCAAGCCAACGAUCAGUAGGGGGCUGAGAGCGUGGUCCCCCACACGGGUACUGAGACACGGACCCGACUCCUACGGGAGGCAGCAGUAAGGAAUAUUGGACAAUGGGCGGAAGCCUGAUCCAGCCAUGCCGCGUGCAGGAUGACCGGCCCUCUGGGUUGUAAACUGCUUUAGAGUCGGGAAAGAAAGUUAUAUAUGUAUAUGUAAUUGACGGU